GGGGAAGGGUCUCUCUCUCUCCCCUCAGAUAGUAUGACCUACCCCUCAACCAUUAGGGGGAAGGGUCUCUCUCUCUCUCUCAGAUAGUAUGACCUAACCCUCAACCAUUAGGGGGAAGGGUCUCUCUCUCUCUCUCUCUCCCCUCAGAUAGUAUGACCUACCACUCAACCAUUAGGGGGAAGGGUCUCUCUCUCUCCCCUCAGAUAGUAUGACCUACCCUCAACCAUUAGGGGGAAGGGUCUCUCUCUCUCCCCUCAGAUAGUAUGACCUAUCCCUCAACCAUUAGGGGGAAGGGUCUCUCUC
This is a long non-coding RNA of Oncorhynchus tshawytscha (Chinook salmon), 303 nucleotides long. The record is from Ensembl. NCBI's taxonomy places the organism in Eukaryota, Metazoa, Chordata, Actinopteri, Salmoniformes, Salmonidae.